Molecule: ribosomal RNA, 453 nt
Filed under: uncultured bacterium
Lineage: Bacteria
Description: bacterial SSU rRNA
Rfam family: Bacterial small subunit ribosomal RNA
Source: RNAcentral
UACGGAAGGCAGCAGUGGGGAAUAUUGCACAAUGGGCGCAAGCCUGAUGCAGCCAUGCCGCGUGUAUGAAGAAGGCCUUCGGGUUGUAAAGUACUUUCAGUCGUGAGGAAGGUGUUAAGGUUACUAACCUUAGCAAUUGACGUUAGCGACAGAAGAAGCACCGGCUAACUCCGUGCCAGCAGCCGCGGUAAUACGGAGGGUGCGAGCGUUAAUCGGAAUUACUGGGCGUAAAGGGCACGCAGGCGGUUAAUUAAGUUGGAUGUGAAAUCCCCGGGCUUAACCUGGGAAUGGCAUUCAAGACUGGUUAGCUAGAGUCUUGUAGAGGGGGUAGAAUUCCAUGUGUAGCGGUGAAAUGCGUAGAGAUGUGGAGGAAUACCGGUGGCGAAGGCGGCCCCUGGACAAAGACUGACGCUCAUGUGCGAAAGCGUGGGGAGCAAACAGGGAUUAGAUACC